RNAcentral lists this ribosomal RNA (938 nucleotides) under uncultured Thermococcales archaeon. RNAcentral describes it as "bacterial SSU rRNA". It matches the Rfam family "Archaeal small subunit ribosomal RNA", at positions 547 to 1478 of the family's 1478-position model. Lineage: Archaea; Methanobacteriati; Methanobacteriota; Thermococci; Thermococcales. The record is from RNAcentral.
AAAUCCCACGGCUCAACCGUGGGGCUUGCUGGGGAUACUGCGGGCCUUGGGACCGGGAGAGGCGGAGGGUACUCCUGGGGUAGGGGUGAAAUCCUAUAAUCCCAGGAGGACCGCCAGUGGCGAAGGCGCUCCGCUGGAACGGGUCCGACGGUGAGGGACGAAGGCCAGGGGAGCGAACCGGAUUAGAUACCCGGGUAGUCCUGGCUGUAAAGGAUGCGGGCUAGGUGUCGGGCGAGCUUCGAGCUCGCUCGGUGCCGAAGGGAAGCCGUUAAGCCCGCCGCCUGGGGAGUACGGCCGCAAGGCUGAAACUUAAAGGAAUUGGCGGGGGAGCACUACAAGGGGUGGAGCGUGCGGUUUAAUUGGAUUCAACGCCGGGAACCUCACCGGGGGCGACGGCAGGAUGAAGGCCAGGCUGAAGGUCUUGCCGGACACGCCGAGAGGAGGUGCAUGGCCGCCGUCAGCUCGUACCGUGAGGCGUCCACUUAAGUGUGGUAACGAGCGAGACCCGCGCCCCCAGUUGCCAGUCCUCCCCGCUGGGGAGGAGGCACUCUGGGGGGACCGCCGGCGAUAAGCCGGAGGAAGGAGCGGGCGACGGUAGGUCAGUAUGCCCCGAAACCCCCGGGCUACACGCGCGCUACAAUGAGCGGGACAAUGGGAUCCGACCCCGAAAGGGGAAGGUAAUCCCCUAAACCCGCUCCCAGUUCGGAUCGCGGGCUGCAACUCGCCCGCGUGAAGCUGGAAUCCCUAGUACCCGCGUGUCAUCAUCGCGCGGCGAAUACGUCCCUGCUCCUUGCACACACCGCCCGUCACUCCACCCGAGCGGGGUCUGGAUGAGGCCUGAUCUCCCUUCGGGGAGGCCGGGUCGAGUCUGGGCUCCGUGAGGGGGGAGAAGUCGUAACAAGGUAGCCGUAGGGGAACCUACGGCUCGAUCACCUCCU